This 464-nucleotide ribosomal RNA is filed under the name uncultured bacterium. RNAcentral describes it as "partial 16S ribosomal RNA". It matches the Rfam family "Bacterial small subunit ribosomal RNA", at positions 339 to 795 of the family's 1533-position model. The record is from RNAcentral.
CUACGGGCUGCAGUAGUGGGGAAUAUUGCACAAUGGGCGCAAGCCUGAUGCAGCGACGCCGCGUGGAGGAUGAAGGCUUUCGAGCUGUAAACUCCUGUUAAGUGGGAAGAAAGACUUUGGGUUAAUACCCCAGAGGGAUGACGGUACCACUAGAGAAAGCACCGGCAAACUUCGUGCCAGCAGCCGCGGUAAUACGAAAGGUGCGAGCGUUAUUCGGAGUUACUGGGCGUAAAGAGCAUGUAGGCGGUUUAUUAAGUUAGUUGUUAAAUCUCAUGGCUUAACUGUGAGCUCGCAAUUAAUACUGGUAAGCUGGAGCAUAGAAGAGAGAAGUGGAAUGCCCGGAGUAGCGGUAAAAUGCGUAGAUCUCGGGAGGAACACCGGUUGCGAAGGCGGCUUCUUGGUCUAUUGCUGACGCUAAAGUGCGAAAGCGUGGGGAGCAAACAGGAUUAGAUACCCUAGUAGUC